GUGUCAGCAGCCGCGGUAAGACGAACCGUGCGAACGUUAUUCGGAAUCACUGGGCUUAAAGCGCGUGUAGGUGGGACGGCACGUCGGUCGCUGAAAGCCCCCGGCUCAACCGGGGAAGGGGCGCCGAUACGACCGACCUGGAGGGACGUAGGGGGACCUGGAACUUCCGGUGGAGCGGUGAAAUGCGUUGAGAUCGGAAGGAACGCCCGUGGCGAAAGCGAGGUCCUGGACGUUUUCUGACACUGAGACGCGAAAGCCAGGGGAGCGAACGGGAUUAGAUACCCCCGUAGUCC
Molecule: ribosomal RNA, 293 nt
Filed under: uncultured bacterium
Lineage: Bacteria
Description: partial 16S ribosomal RNA
Rfam family: Bacterial small subunit ribosomal RNA
Source: RNAcentral